GAGUGAUUUCUGCUAAAGAAAUCUUUUGCAAGUUAUAAAACCACUAGUGAAUAAGGGGUGGGCAAGUUCUGGUGUCAGCCGCCGCGGUAAAACCAGCACCUCAAGUUGGUCAGGAAGAUUAUUGGGCCCUAAAGCAUCCGUUAGCCGGCUCUGUAAGUUUUCGGUUAAAUCCAUGUGCUCAACGCAUGGGCUGUCGAAAAUACUGCAUAGCUAGGGAGUGGGAGAGGUAGACGGUACUCGGUAGGAAGGGGUAAAAUCCUUUGAUCUAUCGAUGACCACCUGUGGCGAAGGCGGUCUACCAGAACACGUUCGACGGUGAGGGAUGAAAGCUGGGGGAGCAAACCGGAUUAGAUACCCGGGUAGUCCCAGCUGUAAACGAUGCAGACUCGAUGAUGCAUUGGCAUAUAGCCAGUGCAGUGUCGCAGGGAAGCCGUUAAGUCUGCCGCCUGGGAAGUACGUACGCAAGUAUGAAACUUAAAGGAAUUGGCGGGGGAGCACCACAAGGGGUGAAGCCUGCGGUUCAAUUGGAGUCAACGCCGGGAAUCUUACCAGGAGCGACAGCAGGAUGAAAGUCAAGUUGGAGACUUUACCAGACAAGCUGAGAGGUGGUGCAUGGCCGUCGUCAGCUCGUGCCGUGAGGCGUCCUGUUAAGUCAGGCAACGAGCGAGACCCCCACCGUUAAUUGCUAUCAGCGACCGUAGGGUUGCUGGAGAUAUUUAGCGGGACUGCUACCGCUAAGGUGGAGGAAGGAGGGGGCCACGGCAGGUCAGUAUGCCCCGAAACUCCUGGGCUACACGCGGGCUGCAAUGGUAGGUACAAUGAGUUUCGACCUCGAAAGGGGAAGGUAAUCCCGAAAACCUACCCCAGUUGUGACUGAGGGCUGAAACUCGCCCUCACGAAUCUGGAAUCCCUAGUAAUCGCGCGUCAACAUCACGCGGUGAAUACGUCCCUGCUCCUUGCACACACCGCCCGUCGCUUCACCCGAGUUGGGUUUGGGCGAGGUAACGCCUAAUUGACGUUGUCGAACCUGAGCUCAACAAGGGGGGAGAAGUCGUAACAAGGUAACCGUA
RNAcentral lists this ribosomal RNA (1070 nucleotides) under uncultured Nitrososphaerota archaeon. RNAcentral describes it as "bacterial SSU rRNA". It matches the Rfam family "Archaeal small subunit ribosomal RNA", at positions 383 to 1451 of the family's 1478-position model. Lineage: Archaea; Thermoproteati; Nitrososphaerota. The record is from RNAcentral.